AGCUGCUGUCCUGAAACUUCAUAAAGUUACCCAUACCCUGUGACUGAAACAGAGCGAAACAAGAGUAAUGAAGAGCUGCUGUCCUGAAACUUCAUAAAGUUACCCAUAUUGAGAUGAAGGAUACAAUCUGCCUGUGACUGAAACAGAGCGAAACAAGAGUAAUGAAGAGCUGCUGUCCUGAAACUUCAUAAAGUUACCCAUAUUGAGAUGAAGGAUACAAUCUGCCUGUGACUGAAACAGAGCGAAACAAGAGUAAUGAAGAGAGGAAACAGAAACCAGCAACAAGGACCAACUGAAAAUGAUCCAGGCCACUAAAAUUAUAAAUGGCUUAUUUAAUAAAUUAUAAUAUUAAUAAAUUUUUAGUUACUGUAA
Bacillus rossius redtenbacheri is the source of this 372-nucleotide long non-coding RNA. RefSeq lists it as uncharacterized. The transcript has 4 exons. Lineage: Eukaryota; Metazoa; Arthropoda; Insecta; Phasmatodea; Bacillidae. The record is from RefSeq and is a predicted model, not a curated record.